GCCAGACUCCUACGGGAGGCAGCAGUGGGGAAUAUUGGGCAAUGGGCGCAAGCCUGACCCAGCAACGCCGCGUGAAGGAAGAAGGCUUUCGGGUUGUAAACUUCUUUUAAGAGGGAAGAGCAGAAGACGGUACCUCUUGAAUAAGCUCCGGCUAACUACGUGCCAGCAGCCGCGGUAAUACGUAGGGAGCGAGCGUUGUCCGGAUUUACUGGGUGUAAAGGGAGCGUAGACGGUUAUGUAAGUCUGGAGUGAAAGCCCGGGGCCCAACCCCGGGACUGCUUUGGAAACUGUGUAACUGGAGUACAGGAGGGGCAGGCGGAAUUCCUGGUGUAGCGGUGAAAUGCGUAGAUAUCAGGAGGAACACCGGCGGCGAAGGCGGCCUGCUGGACUGAAACUGACGUUGAGGCUCGAAAGCGUGGGGAGCAAACAGGAUUAGAUACCCUCGUA
This 447-nucleotide ribosomal RNA is filed under the name uncultured bacterium. RNAcentral describes it as "bacterial SSU rRNA". It matches the Rfam family "Bacterial small subunit ribosomal RNA", at positions 330 to 792 of the family's 1533-position model. The record is from RNAcentral.